CUCCUACGGGAGGCAGCAGUGGGGAAUAUUGCACAAUGGGCGGAAGCCUGAUGCAGCAACGCCGCGUGCGGGAUGACGGCCUUCGGGUUGUAAACCGCUUUCGCCUGUGACGAAGCGUGAGUGACGGUAAUGGGUAAAGAAGCACCGGCUAACUACGUGCCAGCAGCCGCGGUGAUACGUAGGGUGCGAGCGUUGUCCGGAUUUAUUGGGCGUAAAGGGCUCGUAGGUGGUUGAUCGCGUCGGAAGUGUAAUCUUGGGGCUUAACCCUGAGCGUGCUUUCGAUACGGGUUGACUUGAGGAAGGUAGGGGAGAAUGGAAUUCCUGGUGGAGCGGUGGAAUGCGCAGAUAUCAGGAGGAACACCAGUGGCGAAGGCGGUUCUCUGGGCCUUUCCUGACGCUGAGGAGCGAAAGCGUGGGGAGCGAACAGGCUUAGAUACCCUGGUAGUCCACGCUGUAAACGGUGGGUACUAGGUGUGGGGUCCAUUCCACGGGUUCCGUGCCGUAGCUAACGCUUUAAGUACCCCGCCUGGGGAGUACGGCCGCAAGGCUAAAACUCAAAGGAAUUGACGG
RNAcentral lists this ribosomal RNA (570 nucleotides) under uncultured bacterium. RNAcentral's name for it is "bacterial SSU rRNA". It matches the Rfam family "Bacterial small subunit ribosomal RNA", at positions 336 to 916 of the family's 1533-position model. The record is from RNAcentral.